GCGUUAGGAGCCACAAGAGGGCACUGUUGAGAGACUUUAGCAUAGAAGCCCCAGAAGGCCAGGGCUGGAGGGGGCUUCAGUUGCCCAGGUCAGCCCAUGGUUUGUGGGAGAGGGAGCUGUGACUUCCUGGACCUGGUGGGGCCAGGGGAGGUGAAAUGUGGGGUAACCGUUUAAAGGGUUUUGGAGAAGAUGCUCCUGUUGUCUGCACCCUGGACUCAAGUCAGGAGCCCAGAGAAACACUCUGUCCCUUCCUCCCCAUCUCCCUUCCACCCAGCC
RNAcentral lists this long non-coding RNA (276 nucleotides) under Homo sapiens (human). Its description in RNAcentral is "non-protein coding lnc-FBXO31-4:3". The record is from RNAcentral. Lineage: Eukaryota; Metazoa; Chordata; Mammalia; Primates; Hominidae.